UACGUAGGGGGCGAGCGUUGUCCGGAAUCAUUGGGCGUAAAGGGCGCGUAGGCGGCCCCGUAAGUCGGAUGUGAAAUCCCAGGGCUCAACCCUGGAACUGCAUCCGAUACUGCGGGGCUUGAGGCAGGUAGAGGAGAGUGGAAUUCCUGGUGUAGCGGUGGAAUGCGCAGAUAUCGGGAGGACCACCAGUAGCGAAGGCGGCUCUCUGGGCCUGACCUGACGCUGAGGCGCGAAAGCUAGGGUCACGAACAGG
RNAcentral lists this unclassified non-coding RNA (253 nucleotides) under uncultured Nitriliruptoraceae bacterium. Its description in RNAcentral is "contains 16S-23S intergenic spacer region". It matches the Rfam family "Bacterial small subunit ribosomal RNA", at positions 524 to 776 of the family's 1533-position model. The record is from RNAcentral. Lineage: Bacteria; Bacillati; Actinomycetota; Nitriliruptoria; Nitriliruptorales; Nitriliruptoraceae.